GUCAAUAUGAUAGUUUUUGUUAUAUGAUCUUUUUUCUUAUUCAUUAUUUAUUUAUGGUGGCUGUUUUUUUUUUUUUAAUUAAGGCAUAGAAAUUUAUUUUUUAUAACUUUUAAUAGAUAAGCCUCUUCUAGUCUUAAAGUGUUCGCAUUUAUAUUAUUGGAUGUGUUUUCAAUUUACACCCUAACAUAAUUAUAAAUGUGUACAAAAAUAUAAUUAAUUGAAGUUUUUCACUGGGAC
This 237-nucleotide long non-coding RNA is filed under the name Mytilus galloprovincialis (Mediterranean mussel). Lineage: Eukaryota; Metazoa; Mollusca; Bivalvia; Mytilida; Mytilidae. The record is from RNAcentral.